CCUACGGGCGGCAGCAGUGAGGAAUAUUGGUCAAUGGACGCGAGUCUGAACCAGCCAUGCCGCGUGCGGGAGGACGGCACUGUGAGUUGUAAACCUCUUUUGUCAGGGGAUAAACACAGGUACGCGUCUCUGUAUGAGAGUAUCUGACGAAAAAGCAUCGGCUAACUCCGUGCCAGCAGCCGCGGUAAUACGGAGGAUUCGAGCGUUAUCCGGAUUUAUUGGGUUUAAAGGGUGCGUAGGCGGGCGGAUAAGUUAGAGGUGAAAUCCCGAGGCCCAACUCCGGAAGUGCCUUUGAUACUGUUCGGCUAGAGAGUAGGUGAGGUAGGCGGAAUGUAUGGUGUAGCGGUGAAAUGCUUAGAGAUCAUACAGAACACCGAUUGCGAAGGCAGCUUACCAAGCUACUUCUGACGUUGAGGCACGAAAGCGUGGGGAGCAAACAGGAUUAGAUACCCGAGUAGUC
Molecule: ribosomal RNA, 460 nt
Filed under: uncultured bacterium
Lineage: Bacteria
Description: partial 16S ribosomal RNA
Rfam family: Bacterial small subunit ribosomal RNA
Source: RNAcentral